GACGGAGGAUGCAAGCGUUAUCCGGAAUGAUUGGGCGUAAAGCGUCCGCAGGUGGCUAGUCAAGUCUGCUGUCAAAGCGUGAGGCUUAACCUCAUACAGGCAGUAGAACCUGACCCGCUAGAGGGUGGUAGGGGUAGAGGGAAUUCCCAGUGUAGCGGUGAAAUGCGUAGAUAUUGGGAAGAACACCAGUGGCGAAAGCGCUCUACUGGGCCACACCUGACACUGAGGGACGAAAGCUCGGGGAGCGAAAGGG
Molecule: ribosomal RNA, 253 nt
Filed under: uncultured bacterium
Lineage: Bacteria
Description: partial 16S ribosomal RNA
Rfam family: Bacterial small subunit ribosomal RNA
Source: RNAcentral